This 401-nucleotide unclassified non-coding RNA is filed under the name soil metagenome. RNAcentral's name for it is "partial contains 5.8S ribosomal RNA, internal transcribed spacer 2, and large subunit ribosomal RNA". The stretch from base 1 to 121 matches the Rfam family "5.8S ribosomal RNA", at positions 35 to 154 of the family's 154-position model. The record is from RNAcentral.
GAUGAAGAACGCAGCGAAAUGCGAUAAGUAAUGUGAAUUGCAGAAUUCAGUGAAUCAUCGAAUCUUUGAACGCACCUUGCGCCCUUUGGCUAUUCCGAAGGGCAUGCCUGUUUGAGUAUCAUGAACACCUCAACUCUCAUGGUUUGCCAUGAUGAGCUUGGACUCUGGGGGUCUUGCUGGCCUAUGGUCAGCUCCUCUCAAAUAAAUCAGCUUGCCAGUGUUUGGUGGCAUCACAGGUGUGAUAACUAUCUACGCUUGUGGUUUUCCAUCAGGUAACCUUCAGUGAUGGAGGUUCGCUGGAGCUCAUAAAUGUCCCUCCUCAGCGAGGACAGCUUUUUGAACGUUUGAUCUCAAAUCAGGUAGGACUACCCGCUGAACUUAAGCAUAUCAAUAAGCGGGGA